Molecule: long non-coding RNA, 852 nt
Organism: Uranotaenia lowii
Lineage: Eukaryota; Metazoa; Arthropoda; Insecta; Diptera; Culicidae
Exons: 4
Source: RefSeq, a predicted model, not a curated record
AAAAGCCCUUUAGUUACUCGACGUAACACCUUCCGCUCAUAUCAGCCUACAGCGCAUCAGCGCACAAUAUUAAUUAUCAUCCUACUAUCCUUAUCAAUUACUAUCCAUCGUUUGUACCAUAUUUCGAGCCAUUUAUCGAAGAAAUUCAAGGUACCAAACCGAUCACUCUCAGUUCAGCAGAGUAUAAACAAGCCGUAGAAUACCUGUGCAAGGCAGGAGAUCACUAUAAGAAUUUUGUAAUAAAAUACACUGCUGGAUUUAUUAACAAAAUCAUCGAUCUUCACACUGCCUCGUAACAUUUUACAAAAUUCUUAUAUGGCGAGUGUUGCCUCAAACGGAUCGGAUCUAACGAUUAUGGAUAGUAUUGAAGAAGGCAACGGAAAUACCACUCAUAAGGAAAGCAGUAGUCCGCUACCUGGUGGUAUGGCAUCCGGAGAACCUCCAGAGCAGCAAAAAGGCGCUAUAAAGAAAACCAAAGGAAAGUUCAAGAAAGUUAAUAAGUCUGUGAAAAUCCUGGAAAAGGCUGUUCACCGAGAAAGGCGAAACCCUGUAAGAGUCACUCGGAAACGAACUAAUCAUCAUUGCCCGGCAUGUGAGAUGCCUGAUACUAGCAGGAUGGUUAUGUGUGACUCUUGUUCAUGCUGGUAUCACUUCACGUGUGUGGACGUAUCUUCAAGCGUCGCUGACGAGCCCUUUUGGUCAUGUCCGAAAUGUAUCGCGAGCAAGAAUCCACAAACCACGAACGCGCUAACUAAUCGUUCCAUACGUCAGGAAAAUGAUGCAAAUGCCAUUGCUCAAACAUCCGAAAAUGCGCCUGGAAGGAAAGCUAAACCGGAAAGUAUUCGAUCCACA